This 2412-nucleotide ribosomal RNA is filed under the name Triticum aestivum (bread wheat). RNAcentral describes it as "partial small subunit ribosomal RNA". Lineage: Eukaryota; Viridiplantae; Streptophyta; Magnoliopsida; Poales; Poaceae. The record is from RNAcentral.
AUGAAGCGAACGUUGGACGCCGCGGAGCCGAGCCCGGUAUUCCUCUCCCGGGAAAAACGCCAGCGCCUCGCCCUCGAGCGCCGCCAGGCCGCCGUCGCCGACCAGCGUCGCUCCGAGCUCCCCACUCCGCCGCCUCCCCCUCACGAUUCCUCCUCAUCGUGCCGACACUACCAGGACCGGCACCGUGACCGCCGCGACAGAGUUCAGGACAGGAACGGCAAGGAGAAAGAUCGGGCGGAGAAGGCGCGGGAGAAGGAGCUGGAGGCGAUCAGGGAUCAGUACCUCGGGGGAUCCAAGGACAAGAAGCCCAAGACGGUCGCCAAGCCGCGGGACAGGUUCCGCUUCGACUGGGCGAGCACGGACGACACCAGCCUUGUCGACACAGCCGACGCGCCCUACCAGCCGGCGCACGGGCCCCUGCUGCUCUACGGUCGCGGCUUCCUCGCAGGCAUCGACCGGCGCGAGCAGAAGAAGGCCGCGGCGGCCACGUUGCACAAGGAGUCCGGCGCCGCGGCGACGUACGACGCCCUGGACAUGCGCGUGGACACGCACUGGACGGCCAAGCGCGCCGAGGAGAUGACGGAGCGCGACUGGCGGAUCCUGCGCGAGGACUUCGGCAUCUCCUACAGGGGCUCCCGCGUGCCCCGGCCCAUGCGGAGCUGGGCGGAGAGCGGGCUCGGCGCCGAGCUGCUCCGCAACGUCGACAGGGCCGGGUGCAGAUCCAGAUGGCCCGGCAUAACCCGGCACGGAGGGAAGUCACAGGACGAGAGGACGGCCAACCUCGACGGGUUCAGGAACGGCGGGUUCAACGUCCUCGUGGCCACCGACCUCGCCGCCCGCGGCAUCGACGUCCCGGAGGUCGCUCACGUGAUCAACUACGAGAUGCCUAGCUCGAUCGAUCUGUACACGCAUCGUAUCGGGAGGACGGGCCGCGCGGGGAAGAAGGGGCUCUCGACAUCGUUUUUGACACUGGUGGACACUGACAUUUUCUUCGAUCUUAAGCAGAUGCUUGUGCAGAGCAAUAGUCCCGUGCCGCCGGAGCUUGCCAGGCAUGAGGCGUCCAAGUUCAAGCCGGGGUCUAUCCUGCUCCGCCUCGGCUUCCCGGCUUUCCUCGUUCACGCCGCCCUCGUCUCCAAGCGAUGGCUCCGCAUCGCCGCCGACCGCGUCUUCCUCCGACGAUUCCGCGACCGUCACCCUCCCCGCGUCCUCGGCUUCUACGUCAACGACUGCUCCACCUUGCGCGCGGUGUUUGUGAGCGUCUCGGAAGCCCGGGAGCUCCGCUAUGCCGUGAAUCGCGCCGGCUUCAACCACUGCAAUCAAUCUGUAAGAAUCACCGACAGCCGGAACGGCCGCCUCCUACUCAUGCCCCGGUCAUUCGGGUGCGGCGGAUACACCAUGUUCAGCCCGCUGUGCCCGGCACGGGCGUUGCUCCCUAUCCGACUACCGCCGGAGCUAUUACACAUUGGCAGGUUAGGUCCGCUGGACUACAUUAGUCAAUGUCUCUACUUGUUAUUUAGGGACAACGACGACGACUUAGUCUUAGUGUCUGUGCGUCUCAGCGGACGAAAGUUAUCGGCCCGAGUGUAUGUCGGGCAAUCUGAUGCCUGGGGUGAAGCCAUUUUGGCUGAAGGAGAGCUCCCUGUGCCAUUAAAUUUUGCUCACUCAAUGAUGAUUGUCAAUGACAAGCUCUACAUUGUGCUCGACAAUUGCUACAUUUGUCGGUUGGAUUUUGUUGCUCCAGAUCCAGAACUCUUUGUCGUCAAAGUCCCGGACAAAGUCGGUGCGGACUUCAAGCUCUCGCUUGGAGAUGAUUCUGGGCUUUUUCUCAUCCACAAAGACGAGUUCCAUCUCAGUGUUUGGAACCACAAGAUGGACGACAACGGUGAAGACAGAGCUAUCAUUUCUGUUGACCUGAGAAGCAGGAAGGAGACGGCAUAUGAGAUCAAGUUCACAUCAUCCAAGUUGUGGCUUUGCAUCGCCUCCGACCCUGCCUUCCUCGGACGCUUCCGCGGGCACAACCCUCCCCGGCACCUCGGCUACUUCGUGGUGGACUCCGACGCCCUGGUCCCAGUCCCGGCAGUCGUGUCCGUCCCAGUAGAGGUCACUGCAUGGUCCAGAAUCACGGACAUGAUGUAUGUCCACAACAAGCUCUACAUGGCAGUAGAGAUUGGCUACAUUCUUUUGCUGGAUCUGGCCACGACAUGCCUGUCCACCUUGAACCUGCCGGAAAAAGUGGACGCCGCCAGCCUCACGCUCUCAUACAAAGAGUCCGGCCUCUUCCUCAUCCAUGUGAAGGGAUUUCAGCUCAAUGUGUGGCACCGCGAGUCGGAUGACGAUGACACAGACAUCUGGGUGCUGGGGGACACGAUUCGCUUGAGUGCGGUAGCAUGCGAUAAUCUCGAGGAAGUUUGA